Long non-coding RNA from Macrobrachium nipponense, 409 nucleotides. RefSeq lists it as uncharacterized. NCBI's taxonomy places the organism in Eukaryota, Metazoa, Arthropoda, Malacostraca, Decapoda, Palaemonidae. The transcript is spliced from 2 exons. The record is from RefSeq and is a predicted model, not a curated record.
AGGGUUGGUGUGUCCUCACCAGCAGUAAGCAGUACGUAAUCACUCCUCAAGUAACCCGUACUCCUGCCAGUCCUUCGUCAGAAGAAACAGAAAGUCCACGUCCUCGUCAUUUUCUGUUGCUGGAGUAUCAGAUGAUUCUCGUCGUGACUCUUUUACACCGUGUCCUUUGCAAGUCUUCCUGUCGUGACAUACACUGCGCCCUACAGCUAUCUUCAUGCCAGGACAGUUAAUACUUCUGGUAGUAACCUCGUCUCCCGAUAGCUUCGUACGAGCACCUUUAACCCUUUAUCUCGUCAAUAUUCCAUUGACAUCCUACGCCUAUUCUACAAGAACAUUCCCUUGGAAACGCAUAUUAAUGUUCGUAUCUCCAGGUGUAGGCUUCUUCGGUGAAUAAACCUUCAAUUUUAGA